Molecule: ribosomal RNA, 455 nt
Filed under: uncultured organism
Description: partial 16S ribosomal RNA
Rfam family: Bacterial small subunit ribosomal RNA
Source: RNAcentral
CGUACACUCCUACGGGAGGCAGCAGUGGGGAAUAUUGGACAAUGGGCGCAAGCCUGAUCCAGCCAUGCCGCGUGAGUGAUGAAGGCCCUAGGGUUGUAAAGCUCUUUCACCGGAGAAGAUAAUGACGGUAUCCGGAGAAGAAGCCCCGGCUAACUUCGUGCCAGCAGCCGCGGUAAUACGAAGGGGGCUAGCGUUGUUCGGAAUUACUGGGCGUAAAGCGCACGUAGGCGGAUCGAUCAGUCAGGGGUGAAAUCCCAGGGCUCAACCCUGGAACUGCCUUUGAUACUGUCGAUCUGGAGUAUGGAAGAGGUGAGUGGAAUUCCGAGUGUAGAGGUGAAAUUCGUAGAUAUUCGGAGGAACACCAGUGGCGAAGGCGGCUCACUGGUCCAUUACUGACGCUGAGGUGCGAAAGCGUGGGGAGCAAACAGGAUUAGAAACCCUAGUAGUCCCAUGAU